GAGGGGGUUUUACACCCAGAACUGCUACCUCUUGGGCCCAGGCAAAACCGCCUGACCCCUUAUA
This 64-nucleotide transfer RNA is filed under the name Homonota fasciata (South American marked gecko). RNAcentral describes it as "tRNA-Ser". The record is from RNAcentral. Lineage: Eukaryota; Metazoa; Chordata; Lepidosauria; Squamata; Phyllodactylidae.